RNAcentral lists this ribosomal RNA (253 nucleotides) under uncultured bacterium. RNAcentral describes it as "partial 16S ribosomal RNA". It matches the Rfam family "Bacterial small subunit ribosomal RNA", at positions 524 to 776 of the family's 1533-position model. RNAcentral also lists the same sequence under 1 other name. The record is from RNAcentral.
UACGUAGGUGGCAAGCGUUGUCCGGAAUUAUUGGGCGUAAAGCGCGCGCAGGUGGUUCCUUAAGUCUGAUGUGAAAGCCCACGGCUCAACCGUGGAGGGUCAUUGGAAACUGGGGAACUUGAGUGCAGAAGAGGAAAGUGGAAUUCCACGUGUAGCGGUGAAAUGCGUAGAGAUGUGGAGGAACACCAGUGGCGAAGGCGACUUUCUGGUCUGUAACUGACACUGAGGCGCGAAAGCGUGGGGAGCGAACAGG